Long non-coding RNA from Choloepus didactylus (southern two-toed sloth), 1123 nucleotides. RefSeq lists it as uncharacterized. The transcript is spliced from 4 exons. Lineage: Eukaryota; Metazoa; Chordata; Mammalia; Pilosa; Megalonychidae. The record is from RefSeq and is a predicted model, not a curated record.
CCGGGCACGGCCCUCCAACCCGCCCCGGGCUACCGCUCCCAGGUCUCGGGUGAGGAAACUCAGGCAACGCGAGGUGACAUGGUUUACCCAGGGCCACACCAGAGGUCCGGCAACGAUUGCAGGACAGCCCAGGGCGGUAGCUCAGCGGGUCCGCCAAGGAGGGCAGCUUCCAGAUUCCGGGGUCAGGUCGGGCUCAACGGUCUGACCCCGGCCGCGGCCGCUCAGCCGGGGGGGCCCGUCUCCUGUCCGAGUCUCAGUUUCCCGGUCUGUAAAAUAGGUGACCUGGGGCAGAGCUGUCCCCGCUCCUGCUGGAGCAGGCCUGGCUUUUCCAGCUCCGCUGCGCACUGGAGGGGUAGGAGAGCCUGGGGCUUUCUCAGUCAGCAAUUGCGGGGAGGAUUUUGGUGUUUCUGGGCUGCUCCUCCAAGCGCGCGCUGCAAUUGGAGAUGCUGCAGUCUGCCCUGGAAAGGGGCCGGAAGUGCAGUCUUCAGCUCUAAGACUGCCCUAUUCCCGGAGGCCCACGCUCUCCAACUCUCUGCCUCAGUUCUCCAUCUGUCAACUCCUCCACUGCCUGAAGAUGCCCUGUUGGCUGCCUUAUUGUGAGUGACCGCUGUCCGAGGGCUGAAUGAAUGCAUACAAGCAGCUUGUUGAACACUUGCACAGUUGGAGCUGACCACGUGGAGAGACAAAGGCAGGUGACAAGACCACCAAGGAAAAUGUUCAAAAAAGGGAUUGGGAUGAUGAAUGCACAACUAACAUGACGGUGCUGUGAACAGUGGAUUGUACACCAUGGAUGAUCGUAUGGUAACAGAUGCCGAACCCUAGAUGGAUCCCGGCUUCGGAAAAGAAUAUCCUGCUGAGGAAGAUGCCGAAUUUUGCUGUUUUUUAAGAAAAAAAUUGGUCAUUUGUAAUUGCCAAAAAAGUUUAUUGCUGUUUUCUUAUUCAACUAUGCAAAACUAGAGUUUCUUAAAACCGCUCCCAGUCUCUUUGAAGGAACCCGGGUCAGAGGGCAGCUACAGCUAGUGUGUGAACCUCAGCUGUGGUUUCAAAGAAGCCACAUCUAUGAAAACUGCUAACUUGGGACAGAACGGCCCCACUACCCAGAGUCACACCUGUCUCCGGUGUC